AGUGAACGCUGGCGGUAGGCCUAACACAUGCAAGUCGAACGGCAGCACAGUAAGAGCUUGCUCUUACGGGUGGCGAGUGGCGGACGGGUGAGGAAUACAUCGGAAUCUACUUUUUCGUGGGGGAUAACGUAGGGAAACUUACGCUAAUACCGCAUACGACCUACGGGUGAAAGCAGGGGAUCUUCGGACCUUGCGCGAUUGAAUGAGCCGAUGUCGGAUUAGCUAGUUGGCGGGGUAAAGGCCCACCAAGGCGACGAUCCGUAGCUGGUCUGAGAGGAUGAUCAGCCACACAGGAACUAGGACACGGUCCAGACUCCUACGGGAGGCAGCAGUGGGGAAUAUUGGACAAUGGGCGCAAGCCUGAUCCAGCCAUACCGCGUGGGUGAAGAAGGCCUUCGGGUUGUAAAGCCCUUUUGUUGGGAAAGAAAAGCAGCAGGUUAAUACCCCGCUGUUCUGACGGUACCCAAAGAAUAAGCACCGGCUAACUUCGUG
Molecule: ribosomal RNA, 492 nt
Filed under: uncultured bacterium
Lineage: Bacteria
Description: partial 16S ribosomal RNA
Rfam family: Bacterial small subunit ribosomal RNA
Source: RNAcentral